CAUCCUUUGUUCACUGCUACGUUCCCAUAUGUAGUGCUUGAAAUCAAAGUCAGGACCUCAUACUUGUAAGUUGGGUCCUCUACCCAUGGUGCUACUUCCUGGACCACUCAACCCACUUCUUCUUUCAGACAGACAGAAACAAACAGAGCAGAGGCCCCACAGCACCAGAGAUUCCUCUGACACCAUGGCUCUUCCAUGAGGUACUGGUACUCAAACCUGUACCUUGCACGAGAAACGUGCCCUUACUUCCUCAGACAGCAGGAACCUCCCACUUCCUCUAUAGAGCCUAUAUUUCCCCCAGUCCUGGAACCUCUAGGGUGGGGCUCACUUUCCUGCAUGCUUCUCUCAAUUCAUACCAAAUGAUAUUGUAUCCGCCGAUCCCAAACUUAUCAACUCAACGAGUACCACCUCAGCAUGCUUCACUUCAGACUGUGUCCAGAGAUGUCAGGCAUGGAAUGUCAACCCUUCACCCUCAUUACUUGGGUGAGACCUUUCCUUUCAAGGUUCUAGAUGCUAGCAGGAUGCCAACCAGACUUCCCUGGACAGUCAACCUCACCAAAGUGUCCUGGAGCUCUGCUUCCCCAGAGCCCUUCCCCAAUAGGG
Molecule: long non-coding RNA, 603 nt
Organism: Erinaceus europaeus (western European hedgehog)
Lineage: Eukaryota; Metazoa; Chordata; Mammalia; Eulipotyphla; Erinaceidae
Exons: 3
Source: RefSeq, a predicted model, not a curated record